This 1435-nucleotide ribosomal RNA is filed under the name uncultured organism. RNAcentral describes it as "16S ribosomal RNA". It matches the Rfam family "Bacterial small subunit ribosomal RNA". The record is from RNAcentral.
UAACACAUGCAAGUCGAGGGGCAGCAUGGUCUUAGCUUGCUAAGGCCGAUGGCGACCGGCGCACGGGUGAGUAACACGUAUCCAACCUGCCGUCUACUCUUGGACAGCCUUCUGAAAGGAAGAUUAAUACAAGAUGGCAUCAUGAGUCCGCAUGUUCACAUGAUUAAAGGUAUUCCGGUAGACGAUGGGGAUGCGUUCCAUUAGAUAGUAGGCGGGGUAACGGCCCACCUAGUCUUCGAUGGAUAGGGGUUCUGAGAGGAAGGUCCCCCACAUUGGAACUGAGACACGGUCCAAACUCCUACGGGAGGCAGCAGUGAGGAAUAUUGGUCAAUGGGCGAGAGCCUGAACCAGCCAAGUAGCGUGAAGGAUGACUGCCCUAUGGGUUGUAAACUUCUUUUAUAAAGGAAUAAAGUCGGGUAUGCAUACCCGUUUGCAUGUACUUUAUGAAUAAGGAUCGGCUAACUCCGUGCCAGCAGCCGCGGUAAUACGGAGGAUCCGAGCGUUAUCCGGAUUUAUUGGGUUUAAAGGGAGCGUAGAUGGAUGUUCAAGUCAGUUGUGAAAGUUUGCGGCUCAACCGUAAAAUUGCAGUUGACACUGGAUAUCUUGAGUGCAGUUGAGGCAGGCGGAAUUCGUGGUGUAGCGGUGAAAUGCUUAGAUAUCACGAAGAACUCCGAUUGCGAAGGCAGCCUGCUAAGCUGCAACUGACAUUGAGGCUCGAAAGUGUGGGUAUCAAACAGGAUUAGAUACCCUGGUAGUCCACACGGUAAACGAUGAAUACUCGCUGUUUGCGAUAUACAGCAAGCGGCCAAGCGAAAGCGUUAAGUAUUCCACCUGGGGAGUACGCCGGCAACGGUGAAACUCAAAGGAAUUGACGGGGGCCCGCACAAGCGGAGGAACAUGUGGUUUAAUUCGAUGAUACGCGAGGAACCUUACCCGGGCUUAAAUUGCAGAUGAAUUACGGUGAAAGCCGUAAGCCGCAAGGCAUCUGUGAAGGUGCUGCAUGGUUGUCGUCAGCUCGUGCCGUGAGGUGUCGGCUUAAGUGCCAUAACGAGCGCAACCCUUGUUGUCAGUUACUAACAGGUUCCGCUGAGGACUCUGACAAGACUGCCAUCGUAAGAUGUGAGGAAGGUGGGGAUGACGUCAAAUCAGCACGGCCCUUACGUCCGGGGCUACACACGUGUUACAAUGGGGGGGUACAGAGGGCCGCUACCACGCGAGUGGAUGCCAAUCCCAAAAACCUCUCUCAGUUCGGACUGGAGUCUGCAACCCGACUCCACGAAGCUGGAUUCGCUAGUAAUCGCGCAUCAGCCACGGCGCGGUGAAUACGUUCCCGGGCCUUGUACACACCGCCCGUCAAGCCAUGGGAGCCGGGGGUACCUGAAGUGCGUAACCGCGAGGAGCGCCCUAGGGUAAAACUGGUGACUGGGGCUAAGUC